Molecule: non-coding RNA, 100 nt
Organism: Acanthosepion pharaonis
Lineage: Eukaryota; Metazoa; Mollusca; Cephalopoda; Sepiida; Sepiidae
Source: the annotation of a GenBank genome assembly
CAUUGAAACUCCGGUUCACGUACGAUCACAGAAGUUAAGCAACGUCGAGCCUGGUCAGUACCUAGACGGGCGACCGCUUGGUGGUAUCAGGUGUUGUAGG